ACGCAAUAUAAUUUAUACCAGAUCUUGGAGUCUUAAAGGCCUGAAUAAUUUACAUUGAUGUACAUUUACUUUUGACAGGCUGAUGAAAAACAUGAACUGCAUCUGAAGAUAAUGCUGGUUCAAUUAUUCUUGCCCAUACAGCUCCAACAUUAAAAACUCAUGAGAAGUCAUAAAAGGAAAAAAAAAGAACAAUAACAACAACAACAACAAACAAAUUUAAGAACUCACAAAAUAAAUUUCGGUUUAUUGUCGCACAACAAAUUUCACACAUACAUCAAACAGGCCACAAAUAGAUAGCAAUUUAACAGACAAGAAAGAAAAGAAGAAAAUUCUUUUCUUUUGGCCUUGCCCUCUCAUACAAUCCAACUACGUAUGAUACAACUGAUGUACAUACACAAAGUUACUGGAAUGCUUUGAAUUAAUGUUUUUUUUUUCAUGGUUUUCUGCAAUUUUUAAUUCCUUUUUUUGCGUAGUUUUUUACAAGUUUCUUUUGAGAUAACAUGACAUGGUCAAACCACAAGUAAAAUCUAUUUCAUAGAGAAGCAUCAACUUCAAAGCACCGUUUUGUAACCAGAGAUCACUGUCAAAAAUGGCUGACCUCCUAACAAUAUGUACAAAAAUAUAAAAUGUAAAUAAAAAUACAAACAAAUUUUUCCUUUUAAAGUAUUUUGUAAGAAGGUAGAGCUUUGAAGUCUUGGUUGUUUCUACAAAAUCUGCAGUUAGGUGUGUGUACACGGAUGCUGGACUCUACUUGAUGAUGACCAUGUUUUUCCUCCCCCAGUGGACGAGUUAAGGAAAGGAGGGAUGAGAAGAUUUCCAGCAGAGUAGCUUCUUACACAUCAGUCUUUUGCUUCUUGGUUUCAACAUCAUCCUAAAAACAGUGGCCAAACAGAGUUAAAACACUACAGUUUGUACGGUCAGACUUACACACGUAUGUAAGGAUUUCACUGCAUAGUAGAAAUUACCUCAUCAUCAUCAUCAUCAUCCUCGGCCGCUCUUUUUCCUGUGCCACCCUCAGCCUCAUCAUCAUCUUCAUCAUCAUCAUCAUCACCUGCCUUGCCUUCUCCAUCAUCUUCCUCAUCCUCUUCAGCCACCUCAUCAUCCUCCUCAUCUACUUCAUUUUCUGGAUCGCCAUUCUCCUCGUUUUCCUAAAAUAUAAAACAUUAUGAGUUAUCAUGGGUAGCACCUGAGUUCAUUUGGAAACUAUUACAAGCAGUACUGGGCAAUGAAAAGAGAAAAGUUGUGGAAACUAACCGCAUUUCCAUUAGCAGGGGCAUCCUUUCCGUUUUCUGCCUCCUCAACCUGCUUCUUUUCUUUAAGGUCCUAAGUGAAGAAAAAUAUGGCUUUGUAAUUGCUUCAGUUACUUAUCUGAUGUAGGAAAUUAAACUAGACCGAU
This is a long non-coding RNA of Cyprinus carpio carpio, 1396 nucleotides long. The record is from Ensembl. NCBI's taxonomy places the organism in Eukaryota, Metazoa, Chordata, Actinopteri, Cypriniformes, Cyprinidae.